AUGCGUAUCUCUCGAGAUGUGACUUUUGAUGAGUCUCGUCCUUUUUACCCACGCCCAUCUUCCUCGGUCUUUUCCGUGGAGGAUAUCUCUUUUCUCACUUUUCCUGACUCCCCUAUCACUCCCGUUGCGCCUGUGCCUAUUCCUCCCACUCCCUCUGCUUCUCCACCCCUUGUCGAUUCACCGCCACCAUCUUCCCCGGUCUCCUCAUCUAGCAUGUCACCGGAUUCUACACCUUCAUCUCCGGUGACUUCUUCGUCGCCACCCCCUGAUUCUACCUUGGCUAGUCCUCCUUCUCUUGUUCCAUCUCUUCCUCAGCAUUACACUCGUCGUUCACGGCCUGUGGAUGCUUCCUUGGCUGAGUCGUCCUCUUCCUCUCAGCCUACUUAUGGCUUGCGUUCUCGUCCUCGUCCGCCUAUUGAUCGCUUUGGAUUUCCCACCGCUGGUGCUGCUGUUCUUGAGCCGACUUCUUACCAUCAGGCUGUUGUUCAUCCUGAAUGGCAGUUUGCGAUGGCAGAGGAGAUUGCUGCUCUUGAACGCACUGGUACCUAG
This 549-nucleotide ribosomal RNA is filed under the name Triticum aestivum (bread wheat). Its description in RNAcentral is "partial small subunit ribosomal RNA". Lineage: Eukaryota; Viridiplantae; Streptophyta; Magnoliopsida; Poales; Poaceae. The record is from RNAcentral.